RNAcentral lists this long non-coding RNA (316 nucleotides) under Eutrema salsugineum. RNAcentral describes it as "long non-coding RNA (ESAL_LNC000568)". Lineage: Eukaryota; Viridiplantae; Streptophyta; Magnoliopsida; Brassicales; Brassicaceae. The record is from RNAcentral.
GUCCAUCGACGUUAAAUCCUGGACCGUCCGGUUGCAAAACGACGGCAUUUUGGAGCGUCGGUCCAAACGGCGGCUUAAGCUUUGAUAAACGGUACUCCUUUCCGUUAGCCUUAGGCAUAGUAACAGUUAACCUAUCCUUAAACUCCGUUACCUUCAUCACGUCAAGAUUAACGAGUAUCGUCAUUCCUUCAAUAGGUCUAAGAUACAUAUUAACGCUGCCGUCAAGAUAAAACGGCAACAUUCUAACAACUCUCUCUGUCUCGGCCUCACUCUCACCGUACCAUCCGAUCGUUGACGUCGUGAACACAAUCUCCGA